This is a non-coding RNA of Picea glauca (white spruce), 120 nucleotides long. NCBI's taxonomy places the organism in Eukaryota, Viridiplantae, Streptophyta, Pinopsida, Pinales, Pinaceae. The record is from Rfam.
ACAUGAAUACAACAUAGCGUUAAUGCACUGGAUCCUAUUAGACUAUGUAGUUAAGCGCGCUUGGGAUAGAGUAGUACUAGGAUGGGUGAUCACCUAGGAAGUCCUAGUGUUUUACAUGCA